Molecule: non-coding RNA, 73 nt
Organism: Pangasianodon gigas (Mekong giant catfish)
Lineage: Eukaryota; Metazoa; Chordata; Actinopteri; Siluriformes; Pangasiidae
Source: the annotation of a GenBank genome assembly
UCCCUGGUGGUCUAGUGGCCAAGGAUCCUGCGCUCUCACUGCUGCAGCCCGGGUACAAUUCCUUGGCAGGGAA